Molecule: long non-coding RNA, 223 nt
Organism: Melospiza melodia melodia
Lineage: Eukaryota; Metazoa; Chordata; Aves; Passeriformes; Passerellidae
Exons: 4
Source: RefSeq, a predicted model, not a curated record
CCAAGCCCGGGUCAGUAGGCCUAGGAGUGGCAGCUGCAGCAGUUCUGCUGCUCCUGGGGGCAGGUGUUGUCUGGAAAAUCAUUUCCAAGCAGAAGGAAGGAACCCCCCUGAACCCAGACACUGAUCACAAAGGCUCGUGUCUGCCAUAGGAGGCUGGAAAGAGAUCUCAUCCCUGCUGCUGCUGACCAGGCACCCGGCUUGUUCCCUGCAGCGAGGAAGCGCC